UGGACAUAUUAUUGUAUUCGACUGUAUUCACGGCAUGAAAUAGGGGAUUACACUGUUUUUAAAAUGGAAAGUGAAUCAAUUAACAUAAUAGACUCCU
Molecule: microRNA precursor, 97 nt
Filed under: Nicotiana sylvestris (wood tobacco)
Lineage: Eukaryota; Viridiplantae; Streptophyta; Magnoliopsida; Solanales; Solanaceae
Description: MIR6152 microRNA precursor family
Rfam family: MIR6152 microRNA precursor family
Source: Rfam by way of RNAcentral